This is a non-coding RNA of Pogona vitticeps (central bearded dragon), 319 nucleotides long. Lineage: Eukaryota; Metazoa; Chordata; Lepidosauria; Squamata; Agamidae. The record is from RefSeq and is a predicted model, not a curated record.
CCCAGCCCUUGAACCUUGGGACUUCUGAGAUGCAAAGCAGAUGGUUGACCAUGGAGGACUGUUAUUGCCGUUCCCUGGUGAAUCAUCUUCAGUUCCUGCAAGGAUAAUGUGGUAUCAUUUUGUGGCUGGUUGUCCUGAAGUGAAUACUCCGUGUAAUGAAUAUUACCAGAACAAGACCAAAUGGGCUGUUAGUUUCAAGGAGGGCGAUGGCAUGCACUCUUAAUUCCGCUCCCCCCAAAUGUGUUUCGGAUGAGAAUGCUGUCUGUGAAAGGUUGUUUACUCCCAGUUGGCUAAGAGCCUUGCUUCAUUCAUCCUGCUC